This is a long non-coding RNA of Mastomys coucha (southern multimammate mouse), 273 nucleotides long. RefSeq lists it as uncharacterized. The record is from RefSeq and is a predicted model, not a curated record. The transcript is spliced from 2 exons. Lineage: Eukaryota; Metazoa; Chordata; Mammalia; Rodentia; Muridae.
CCUUUAAAGCUCUUCAAAAGUGUCAAGGAGAAUUCUAAGAGCACACUAGAAUCCAGGACCUGUGCAACAUAAAGGCCACUUGAAUGAUGCCUCCCUUUCAGGUAUACCCAGUUCAUCCAUGGCUGCUGGACAGCUACAGGUGGCGCCUGAACAAGGGGACUGAACAUGGGUGAAUCAACUGAGAAAUGCUGUCUUGGUGGAUCCACAGGAAAUGGAAGAAGUAUCAGUACCCUGCACAGUGGUGACCAACAGAGAGCAUUAAUGCUAGCACUA